GACGGAGGGGGCUAGCGUUGUUCGGAAUGACUGGGCGUAAAGGGCGCGUAGGCGGUUUUUUAAGUGAGGCGUGAAAGCCCUGGGCUUAACCCAGGAGGUGCGUUUCAUACUGGAAGACUUGAGUACGAGAGAGGUAAGUGGAAUUCCUAGUGUAGAGGUGAAAUUCGUAGAUAUUAGGAAGAACACCAGUGGCGAAGGCGGCUUACUGGCUCGUAACUGACGCUGAGGCGCGAAAGCGUGGGGAGCAAACAGG
Molecule: ribosomal RNA, 253 nt
Filed under: uncultured bacterium
Lineage: Bacteria
Description: partial 16S ribosomal RNA
Rfam family: Bacterial small subunit ribosomal RNA
Source: RNAcentral